This 73-nucleotide transfer RNA is filed under the name Thermoplasmatales archaeon BRNA1. Its description in RNAcentral is "tRNA-Trp (CCA) (tRNA-Trp-CCA-1-1)". It matches the Rfam family "tRNA". From Rfam's summary of the family: Transfer RNA (tRNA) molecules are approximately 80 nucleotides in length. Lineage: Archaea; Methanobacteriati; Thermoplasmatota; Thermoplasmata; Thermoplasmatales. RNAcentral also lists the same sequence under 1 other name. The record is from RNAcentral.
GGGGAUAUAGGCUAACCUGGUAGACUAGCGGGCUCCAGACCCGCCUAUGGGGGUUCAAAUCCCUCUGUCCCCA